Acanthopagrus latus (yellowfin seabream) is the source of this 1738-nucleotide long non-coding RNA. RefSeq lists it as uncharacterized. The record is from RefSeq and is a predicted model, not a curated record. The transcript has 7 exons. Lineage: Eukaryota; Metazoa; Chordata; Actinopteri; Spariformes; Sparidae.
AAAAAAACAAAAAAAAAAUGGUGAAAAAAAGGAAUAUCCGUCUGAUUCAAGUGAGACAAAAAAAGGAUUCCCGUCUCUCUACGACAAAGGCAGGAGCAGCGGCAGGAGCGGUGGCGGCGGCGGCAGCAUGUGACAGAUGAUGACACGAUGUUUGCCCAAGACCUCAUAUGUUCAGCACAUGGUGAAUUGAGGAAACAACUCCGAAAACACUGCGUGUGUUUUUUCCAAAUUUCUGUGAAGAAAUGAUCAACACCACUUAAAUAAGAGAGAGGAAAGAAGCAUUUCCACUGAUGAGAUCAGAACUCUGAUUGGCUAUUGGAUACCAGUCUUGAGGAUGUUGGAACACACCAGACGAAGCUACAGUGCCUGAUAUGCCUCCAGCAUCCCAGCAACCCAGCGACCGCGAGCACCCCUUGGGAGCUUCAUGCAUUAUGCUUCUAGCAUUUACAGAGAAAGAGAUAUUAAAAAACAUCCAGUCGGCAGCAGCUCUGCUUUGUUGUGGAGAAGAGAAGUCAGAGGAGAGCAGGAGAGAGAGACGUUCAAGCUAAAUACAGGCCAUCCGUACUACAUGGCUUCAAGCUAUGUGCUUGUAGCUGAACCACAGUGGUUUGGAUCAAUCAGCGUCCUAUGAGGAACUACUGGCAGCUGUUUGAAAAGAACAGUGGCGGCUCCUAAAGAGGAGGUCCACAUGUUGCUCACCUUUUAUGCCUCAUGACUCACUAGUUGAGCAGAAAAACAGUGCCCCUGCUGAGUGGAAAAAAACACACAAGAUCUUGUUGUGGAUGACUACCGGCGGCCCUGCAUACAAAAACCCCAAAGCCGCUUGCUCGUUCGUGGGAGGAGUGUCUUUAAGCCAAGGAAUGUUGUCUUUGCCUCCUCCAUCUGAGCCCAUCUGGACGUACAGUGUGUCCGAGUUUCAGCCGAGAUUGAGAGAAAAGACAAACUGCAGCUGCCGGAGUUAAAAAUAAACAGAAACUGUACUGACGGGAAGAGGGCUGGAGAGAGCUGUGGAGAGGGCUUCAAGAGGUCGACCUAAUGGUCCGGAGGUCACCGCACUCGGGUGUGUGUGUGUGUGUGUGUGUGUGUGUGUGUGUGUGUGUGUGUGUGUGUGUGUGUGUGUGUGUGUGUGUGUGUGUGUGUGUGUGUGUGUGUCAGAGAGGGAGAGAGUGAAAGACAAAGAGAGUGGAAGAUGUGGAAAGUCCCAGAGAAUACAAAAACAUCACAGUCACAAAAUGCUACAGAAACUGUGAGAGAAUUAAACAAAAAGACCAAAAAUGUUAAAAUCCAUGCAUUAAACACACAACAUUACUCCAGUUUAAAUUGUAUUGUUUGUGUGUCUGAACAAAAGGUGAGAGAAGAGCUUCCUAAAAAAAAAAAAAAAACAGCAUUCACUCAUUUAUUCAUUUGUUUUUAUCUCUUUAUCACUAUUUGAGAUUACAGAGGACCGGUCCCAGCUUUACCAGCUAAGAUCCGGCGAUAAAUGGGAAACUUUUUUUAUUUUUUUUAUCGAGUCUUAUUAGGGAUUCUGCUUGUCUGCCCCCACUAUGAGCUGAUGUAAAAACCAAAAAAUAAAAAAUGAAAGCUUUCAUAUCGUACAUGAGUGGUGUUCUGGCAGCUGUCAAGAUAAUGUAAGCCGAGGGGAGACGUGUUGAAAGAAUUGCAGGAAGAACAGUAACUUUUCACCGGCGCCCCGCUCUUUGACUGCAGCUGAGGCGUUCACAGCAGCUGAGUCACCGUC